RNAcentral lists this transfer RNA (68 nucleotides) under Austinogebia edulis. RNAcentral's name for it is "tRNA-Gln". Lineage: Eukaryota; Metazoa; Arthropoda; Malacostraca; Decapoda; Upogebiidae. The record is from RNAcentral.
UAUAUAAUGGUGUAUAGGCAUAUGAAAUUUUGAUUUUCAGGGAGUAAGUGUAAUUCUUUCUUAUAUAA